Long non-coding RNA from Musa acuminata AAA Group (dessert banana), 1875 nucleotides. RefSeq lists it as uncharacterized. The record is from RefSeq and is a predicted model, not a curated record. NCBI's taxonomy places the organism in Eukaryota, Viridiplantae, Streptophyta, Magnoliopsida, Zingiberales, Musaceae. The transcript has 2 exons.
CGGAAGUCCUUGUGUUGCACUCUCUUCUCGCGUCUCUGCCGACGAGAACAGAGGAGGGGGAAAGUGGGUUGUUGGCGAUCAGUGAAGGGAGAAGAGCCAUUGCUGUCGACACUGCUCUCCUUCUGCGAGUUGAGGGAAGAAGCAGGGCGACCGCGUGCAGCCCGCUGCUCUCCUCCUUCCGCUUCUCAUAGCGAGGAACAAAGGGAGAAGAGAACAUAUCUCUCAUCGCCCUUCCUCUUCUUCCUCUUCUCGUCUCUCUGCCGGCGGGAACAGAGGAGGGGUAAAUUGGGCUGUUGGCGAUCGGUGAAGGGAGAAGAGAACUCCGUUCAGGAUCGAAAACCUUCAGCGGCCUGGGAGAUCCUCUGCUCUCCACAGAGGAGCAGAGAGCGGAGAUCUGCUCACCCAAACACCCUAUAGGGCACGCCUUCUCUGGACCGAGAUCGGCGCUCGGUGAAGCGAGGAGAUCUCACCACCACUGCUGGGCGACGGCGGCGGAGACUCUUCCAGACUGCUAGCAACGGGAAGGCUGUGAUCGUCGACCUGCUGUGAUCGCACCCUUCCCUCUGCAGCCCCUCUGCUCUCCUUCUUCCUCUUCUCAAAGAAUCGAGGAGAAGAGGCACCGGCAAAGGAGGAGAGAUCGCACCAUCUGCUCUCCUCCUUCUUCCCCCUCCCCAAGAAUAGGGGAGAAGCAGCAGGCGACCAGUUGGGAGAGGAUUCAUCGGCGAAGGAGAGGAGAGAUCAGAAGAAGGCUGCUGCGAUCGCACCCUUCUUGUGGUCAGCGGUGCUCUGCUGGGGCCGGCGGUUCUGCACCCCCUGCUCUCCUCCUGUUCUACUCGGUAGAACAGAGGGUUUCUUUGGGGGCGGCACCUGCGUGCAGCCCUCUACUCUCCUUCUUCCCCUUCUCAUAAAGAGGAACAAAGGUGAGGUGGGCUGGGUGAUAGCGGUGGUGGCUGCAACGGGAAGGCUGGGAUCAUCGACCUGUGAUCUCCCUAUGCAGCCCCUCUUCCCAAGGAACAGGGAUCCGUGCAGCCCCUAGCUUGCCAUCUCAUCAGCGAAACAGAGAAGAAGCGAUAGUUCUGGCAGCUCCUCGUCUUCUCGGUUGAAAACAGGAGGAUUUCUUUGGGGGCGGCAAGUGUGCCCUUCUAGCGACAGAUCGGUUACUCCUAACGCUGCAAGGAUAUAACAGCGAUGAUCCCUUACCUCUCAAGUUGCUCCUCCGCUAUCUUGUGAGAUGCUCCUUCGAUGAAGCAGCAUCGAAACUUCUUUCCGGUGAGAUGCUCAUUCGAUGAAGCAGCAUCGAAACAUAUCGUGCUCUAGAUCGCGGCCUCUUGCUCCCAUUUCUAGUGACCCUCGACCUUGGACUAGCCUCUUCAAGGCUCCGGUUGGAAGUACAGAUCUCAGCUUGGAUUUCUUUGCUCGAGAAGUUUAGGUUGAUAAGAAGAUUACUGAUUCCGCAGAGCUGAUUGAGACAUGGCCUAUGACGAUUGUUGGCUAUGUGGUAGGUCUCAAAACAUCCUAUUUCCCACUAUCAUCAUUUAUCAAAACUAGAUGGGGAACAUCCCAUUAGUCCCACAUCGGAAGUGGAUAAUGUGUAUGAUUAGCUUAUAUAGACCUGAUGAGUGUAUGUAUGGCCUUGACAAGGACAUCAAGCUAAUUGAGUUUGGGGAUAUUGUAACAUCCCAUUAGUCCCACAUCGGAAGUGGGCAGCGCCUGAUGAGUGUACUACGUUAACUCCCGCAUCAUAAUAACCAACAAGGGGAGCAUAGAGUACUUGGAGUAUAUCAAUAGCGUAUAACAAUAAAGAUGAAUGUACUUGGAGUAUAUCAAUAGUGUAUAACAAUAAAGAUGAAUCCCAAAUAUAAUAUGGUUCAUCUA